This 484-nucleotide ribosomal RNA is filed under the name uncultured bacterium. RNAcentral's name for it is "partial 16S ribosomal RNA". It matches the Rfam family "Bacterial small subunit ribosomal RNA", at positions 30 to 507 of the family's 1533-position model. The record is from RNAcentral.
AUUGAACGCUGGCGGCAGGCUUAACACAUGCAAGUCGAGCGGAUGAAGGGAGCUUGCUUCUGGUUUUAGAGGCGGACGGGUGUGUAAUGCCUAGGAGUCUGCCUGGCUGUGGGGGAUGACGACCGGAAACGGGCGCUACUACUGCCUACGUCCUGAGGGUGAAAGUGGGGGAUCUUCGGACCUCACGCUCUUAGAUGAACCUAGGUCGGAGUAGCUAGUUGGUGGGGUAAGGGCCUACCAAGGCGACGAUCCGUAACUGGUCUGAGAGGAUGAUCAGUCACACUGGAACUGAGACACGGUCCAGACUCCUACGGGAGGCAGCAGUGGGGAAUAUUAGGCAAUGGGCGAAAGCCUGAUCCAGCCAUGCCGCGUGUGUGAAGAAGGUCUUCGGAUUGUAAAGCACUUUAAGUUGGGAGGAAGAGCAGUAAGUUAAUACCUUGCUGUAUUGACGUUACCAACUGAAUAAGCACCGGCUAACUACGUG